Molecule: non-coding RNA, 163 nt
Organism: Podarcis lilfordi (Lilford's wall lizard)
Lineage: Eukaryota; Metazoa; Chordata; Lepidosauria; Squamata; Lacertidae
Source: the annotation of a GenBank genome assembly
CUCCCUUACACGGAGGGGUGGGCAGCUGUGUGCACCUCAGUGGAGAAGUUUAAAGGAGCCCCCACCUAGCCUCUGGCUUGCACAAGCUGGAGGUGGGGCGGGGGCUCCAUUAUACUUCUACAUUAAGGCGCACACAGCUGCCUUCCUCUCAGUGGAGAAGUGC